AUGGAAUUGAGACCGGCCAGGGCAUCCCCCUCCGGCCCUUGGGAUGUGCCCAGAGGUGGGGCUGCAGGGGCACUUUCCCCGUGCCGUUUGGGGCAGGAGAGCAAGCCCCCUAUCCACCCAUCCAUCUGUCUGUCCGUCCAUCCGUCCCUGCAUUGCUACCCCACCGAACCAGCAUGCCCCAGCCCCAAUUCACCCCCCCCUCCCCAAAAUUUGCCACCCCACUCCUCACGUGGGGGCUCUCCGGGGGGGGGUUCAUCCCACCGCGGCGUGCGUGCCACCGCGGAGAUGUGUGAGCGGAGAGGGCUGUCCCCAUCCCCAGCAGCCACGGCCGGACUGGGACGAGCCCCUGGCUGUGGUGUGACCCCUCUUGUGCCCCGUCCCGGCUACCCCGAAGCAGCCCGAGGUGGCCAUCGCCGUCCCCGUCCUCGUCCCCAUGCCGGGGAGGCCGCUCCGCGCGGCGUCCCGCUGGCCUCCGUGUUUUCCCUGCAGCCUUUUGUGUGCGUGGCGGCGUGGCGGCGCACGGGGAGGCCGCAUGGCGCCCGGCCUUCCCCACCUCCGUCCUCCUCCUCCUCCUCCCCCCGAUCCCCGCCUCCCCGGCCGCCAUUUCGCAGCGCCGGCCUCGCUCGCUCUCCACAUCAUGGAGGACCAGCGCGGGGGGGAAACAAAGAGCCCCGGCCUGCGUCGGUGCCCCCGGCCCAGGCGCCCCCACGUCCCCUCCCGACGCGCGGCGCUGCAGCGAGCCGUGCCCGCGUGCGAGGAGUUUGCUCGGGCCUCAGCCUCGUGGCAAAGCUGCGGCGCUCCCUCCUGUGUCCCCCCCGCCAGCCCACGGGGCUCAUCCUGCCCCGGUGCGGGGUCCUGUGGUGUCCCCGAGGGACGCGGCACGUGCACGGGGAGAAAGGGUGCGUGUGCACGCGUGUGCGGGACUCCAGGCGCUCGUGGGGCAGUUUGUGUGCACACACGCGUGAGAUGGGGGUGUGUGCACGCGUGUGUGAUCACGCACGCACAUGCACAGAUGGCAGCCAGCGCGUGUGA
RNAcentral lists this long non-coding RNA (1032 nucleotides) under Anser cygnoides (Swan goose). RNAcentral describes it as "lncRNA (ENSACDG00005014669.1)". Lineage: Eukaryota; Metazoa; Chordata; Aves; Anseriformes; Anatidae. The record is from RNAcentral.